CCUACGUGUGGCAGCAGUGAGGAAUCUUGGUCAAUGGACGCGAGUCUGAACCAGCCCCGUAGCGUGAAGGAUGACUGCCCUAUGGGUUGUAAACUUCUUUUAUAUGGGAAUAAAAUGUUCCCCGUGUGGGUUUUUGUAUGUACAUUAUGAAUAAGGAUCGGCUAACUCCGUGCCAGCAGCCGCGGUAAUACGGAGGAUCCGAGCGUUAUCCGGAUUUAUUGGGUUUAAAGGGAGCGUAGGUGGGUUGUUAAGUCAGUUGUGAAAGUUUGCGGCUCAACCGUAAAAUUGCAGUUGAUACUGGCAGUCUUGAGUACAGUAGAGGUGGGCGGAAUUCGGGGGGUAGCGGGGAAAUGCUUAGAUAUCACGAAGAACUCCGAUUGCGAAGGCAGCUCACUGAACUGCAACGGACACUGAUGCUCGAAAGUGUGGGUAUCAAACAGGAGUAGAUACCCCAGUAGUC
Molecule: ribosomal RNA, 460 nt
Filed under: uncultured bacterium
Lineage: Bacteria
Description: partial 16S ribosomal RNA
Rfam family: Bacterial small subunit ribosomal RNA
Source: RNAcentral